GAACCACUCAGUUGUUCCAUGACCAGUUCUAACUGUUGCUUCCUGUCCCACAUAUAGGUUUCUCAGGAGACAGAUAAGGUGGUCAGGCACUCUCAUUUCUUUAAGAAGUUGCCAUAGUUUGUUGUGGUCCACACAGUCAAAGACUUUUGUGCACUCAGUGAAGCAGAAGUAGAUGUUUUUCUGGAACUCUCUGGCUUUCUCCAUAAUCCAGCGCAAGUUAGCAAUUUGGUCUCGAGUUCCUCUGCCCCUUCGAAAUCCAGCUUGUACUUCUGGGAGUUCUCGGUCCACAUACUGCUGAUGCCUACCUAGUAGGCUUUUGAGCAUAACCUUGCUAGCGUGUGAAAUGAGUGCAAUUGUACGGUAGUUGGAGCAUUCUUUGGCACUGCCUUUCUUCGGUAUUGGGAUGUAGACUGAUCUUUUCCAGUCCUCUGGCCACUGCUGAGUUUUUCAAACUUGCUGGCAUAUUGAAUGUAGCAUCUUAACAGUGUCAGUUAAGUGUUUUAUAAAGAUCUAACAGUGAGUCAUUUUGCAUAACUGUUAUUUCAUCUAAUACUUAAAUACAGGUCGUUCUGCUUUGCACUUUUCUUUUCACUAUUACGUUGCACUGUGUUGGAAAUGCAUUGAUUUUCUUUCGAUUUCUUUUAUAUUGUGUCUUCAUUUUAUGAAUCAUAUUCCCUGUUUGUCAGCUGUGACUUAAAUAAAUCUUCAUAUCAAUUGCACCAUUAAUUCCUCAGUUCAUCUCUGGUUACACCUUUUGCCCACUGGGGCAAACAAAGGAGACCUCAUUUUCAAACAAGGACCUCCAUCCCCAUCCUUGAAGGCGAGCCACCUUUACCUAGCACAGGGAUAAAGGAAAGAAGGCUACCUAACCCCUUGGGACUGCAUUUCCCAUCACCCGACACCAAGGACGUCGCUACUUGCGGGCUUCUGGGAGUUGCAGUUCUGCUGUCUAACCUACUGCCUGCUCGACAGCCUUCUGCAGACUGACCGGCCAUCUUGUCCGCUUAUUUUAUUAUUAUUAUUUCCGCUUGUUUCUAAGAUUCAGCCUCUUCUACACGGAGGCCUGGAGGAGUCUUUUAUUUCUGUUCCCGAUAUUUUUGAAAAACAGGCUCCUUCUCGGACACCUCAAUGGCGUUCAGGCCCCCACAAACCAACAUGGCGGCUGGCACCAUUAGGCGCGACGGCCGGCGCCGAAGGCCCCCUGCCAAGAUGGCGAUGCUGGCGGAGCCACGUCGCAAGCAGAAGUGGUCUGUGGACCCCCGAAACACUACGUGGAGCAAAGAUGAUUCAAAAUUUGGCCAGAAGAUGUUGGAAAAAAUGGGAUGGUCCAAAGGCAAGGUAACGCAACAUGGCAGGUAGUUAGAGGUGGGAAGUGAGACAAGGAAUAUAUACAGUGGUACAUCGACUUACGAACUUAAUCCGUAUUGGAACGACGUUCGUAAGUCAAAACGUUAUUAAGUCGAAGCACC
Molecule: long non-coding RNA, 1469 nt
Filed under: Pogona vitticeps (central bearded dragon)
Lineage: Eukaryota; Metazoa; Chordata; Lepidosauria; Squamata; Agamidae
Description: lncRNA (ENSPVIG00000003460.1)
Source: RNAcentral